AGUUGGUAGUAGUAUGUUGGCCCAACGUUGGCCCGAUGUUUGUUAUACACCCAUAAAGAAUGCGUCUUAUCAAGUUGAUAGUAGUAUGUUGGCCUAACGUUGGCCAAAUGUUUGUAAUACAUCCUUAAUAAAGUGUCUUAUCAAAUUGGUAGUAGUAUGUUGGCCCAACGUUGGCCCAAUGUUUGUUAUACACCCUUAAAGAAAGUGUCUUAUCAAAUGGGUAGUAGUAUAUUGGCCCAUUGUUUGUAAUACACCCUCAAAAAAUGUCUUAUCAAUAUCAAUUUGGUAGUACAUUGUAGUAUGUUGGCCCGAUGUUAGCACGAGUGUUCUUUUGGUUAGGUGUUUCAAAGAUGGGAUAUUUAUAUUGGGCCAACGCUGGCCCAAUUAUUAUACUGCCAACUAAAGAUGGUGUCAAUUUUAGCUGCUGAGCUGACAUUCUAUGUCCCUGCUUUUAAUUGGAUGACUGUUUUUGUUUAGAUCUGAUAUAUUCAACAUUUUAAAUUUAAACUUAAGUGAUCACAGCACCAAAGAGUGUUUUAUUAUAUUUUUUGAAUUGUGCACAUGCAUGAUUAUUUAUUUGAAAUAAAACCCUUGAAAUUAUGAAUUUUUUCAUGAGCGUUGUAUUCAUGAGAAUUUAGAGAAGACUGAAUACGUUCUCAGGAACAGGAUGUGAAUGAAGCCUACAUAUACAUAAAUCAAAAUGACACAGCUUUAUAAUUAAAUUGAAACAAAAGUUAGGCGUUCGCUAUCACGUGACCAAACUGUGGAGUGAGCUGUCAGGUUCAAUUGCUCAGAGGUGGUGAUAAUGCAGGGCAAGCAAGAAGAAGUGAAAUUUAAAUUUUUGGAUUAUACACUUGCUAUACAGCUGCAUUUAGAAGCGAUACACGAUUGUAACAAAGAAAUUCAGUCAGAGACUGCAAGGAAAACAAAUGUUGUGGCGGUACAUAUAUAUUACAAUGAAAUCAAGACCAUGCAGAAAGAAGUGUAUAAAGUAUGAGUCCGUAUGACAAAGAUCAACAUGAAGAAAACGGGAGGCGAGAAGGGACGGAAAAAGAGCGGGAAUACAACAAAAGGACAAUAAUAAAGGAAGUGAGCCCUGAUUAAGAACUUUUAAUUGAUAAUUUUUCAUAAUUUACCUCUAUUGUCUAUUUUAAAAUUUAUUUUGUAAAUUAUGAUUGAAUUGAUGUAUAUAAAAUAUUAUCACAGUGAA
Saccostrea cuccullata (small rock oyster) is the source of this 1210-nucleotide long non-coding RNA. RefSeq lists it as uncharacterized. The record is from RefSeq and is a predicted model, not a curated record. NCBI's taxonomy places the organism in Eukaryota, Metazoa, Mollusca, Bivalvia, Ostreida, Ostreidae. The transcript has 2 exons.